GAUGAACGCUGGCGGCGUGCCUAAUACAUGCAAGUCGAGCGAACAGAUGAGGAGCUUGCUCCUCUGACGUUAGCGGCGGACGGGUGAGUAACACGUGGAUAACCUACCUAUAAGACUGGGAUAACUUCGGGAAACCGGAGCUAAUACCGGAUAAUAUAUUGAACCGCAUGGUUCAAUAGUGAAAGACGGUUUUGCUGUCACUUAUAGAUGGAUCCGCGCCGCAUUAGCUAGUUGGUAAGGUAACGGCUUACCAAGGCAACGAUGCGUAGCCGACCUGAGAGGCUGAUCGCCCACACUGGAACUGAGACACGGUCCAGACUCCUACGGGAGGCAGCAGAAGGGAAUCUGCCGCAAUGGGCGAAAGCCUGACGGAGCAACGCCGCGUGAGUGAUGAAGGUCUUCGGAUCGUAAAACUCUGUUAUUAGGGAAGAACAAAUGUGUAAGUAACUAUGCACGUCUUGACGGUACCUAAUCAGAAAGCCACGGCUAACUACGUG
This 497-nucleotide ribosomal RNA is filed under the name uncultured bacterium. RNAcentral describes it as "partial 16S ribosomal RNA". It matches the Rfam family "Bacterial small subunit ribosomal RNA", at positions 28 to 507 of the family's 1533-position model. The record is from RNAcentral.